This 372-nucleotide ribosomal RNA is filed under the name uncultured Corynebacterium sp. RNAcentral describes it as "bacterial SSU rRNA". It matches the Rfam family "Bacterial small subunit ribosomal RNA", at positions 1016 to 1382 of the family's 1533-position model. The record is from RNAcentral. Lineage: Bacteria; Bacillati; Actinomycetota; Actinomycetes; Mycobacteriales; Corynebacteriaceae.
CCCUUUGUGGUUGGUGGUACAGGUGGUGCGAUGGUUGUCGGUCAGCUCGUGUCGUGAGAUGUUGGGUUAAGUCCCGCAACGAGCGCAACCCUUGUCUUAUGCUGCCAGCACGUGAUGGUGGGACGUCAUGAGAGACUGCCGGGGUUAACUCGGAGGAAGGUGGGGAUGACGUCAAAUCAUCAUGCCCCUUAUGUCCAGGGCUUCACACAUGCUACAAUGGUCGGUACAACGCGUGUGCGACACUGUGAGGUGAGGCUAAUCGCUCUAAAGCCGGUCGUAGUUCGGAUUGGGGUCUGCAACUCGACCCCAUGAAGUCGGAGUCGCUAGUAAUCGCAGAUCAGCAACGCUGCGGUGAAUACGUUCCCGGGCCUU